GACAGUGUGGUGUAGUGGUUUCAGUAUUGAACUAUGACUCCUGAGGCCAGGGUUUGAACCUCUGUUCAGCCA
Non-coding RNA from Phrynosoma platyrhinos (Desert horned lizard), 72 nucleotides. The record is from the annotation of a GenBank genome assembly. Lineage: Eukaryota; Metazoa; Chordata; Lepidosauria; Squamata; Phrynosomatidae.